This 253-nucleotide ribosomal RNA is filed under the name uncultured bacterium. RNAcentral's name for it is "partial 16S ribosomal RNA". It matches the Rfam family "Bacterial small subunit ribosomal RNA", at positions 524 to 776 of the family's 1533-position model. The record is from RNAcentral.
UACAGAGACUGCAAGCGUUAUUCGGAUUCACUGGGCGUAAAGGGUGCGCAGGCGGCCGUGUGUGUCAGGUGUGAAAGCCCGGAGCUUAACUCCGGAAUUGCGCCUGAAACUACAUGGCUAGAGCAUUGGAGAGGGAAGUGGAAUUCACGGUGUAGCAGUGAAAUGCGUAGAUAUCGUGAGGAACACCAGAGGCGAAGGCGGCGCCCUGGCUCGCAACUGACGCUCAGACACGACAGCAUGGGGAGCGAACGGG